This 263-nucleotide unclassified non-coding RNA is filed under the name Hevea brasiliensis (rubber tree). Lineage: Eukaryota; Viridiplantae; Streptophyta; Magnoliopsida; Malpighiales; Euphorbiaceae. The record is from RNAcentral.
AUAGACAAGGUGAAUUGCAUUGCUAACGUGAAAUCAAUCCAUAUUACUUUUUCUUUAAUUGUACCUGUAAAUUGAUUAGUAAAAAGAAUUGAAUGACAAUUGGCACAGAAAUGAGUAAAGCAGCAAUUAGUCCACUUUCCUUUUGUGAGUGACUCAAAGGGUCUAAUUCACCAGGAUUUUCUGCAUUAAAUUAAUAUUCAUUGAUUGAUCUCUAAAAUUGUUUUUUGAUUUUGGAAGAUAUCAUAUUGUAGCUGUUGGUGGGG